Pelobates cultripes (western spadefoot toad) is the source of this 206-nucleotide non-coding RNA. The record is from the annotation of a GenBank genome assembly. NCBI's taxonomy places the organism in Eukaryota, Metazoa, Chordata, Amphibia, Anura, Pelobatidae.
AAAUAAGUCAUGCUGUUUCAGUGUUUGCAGAUGACACAGAACUCUGUAAAGUAAUACAAUGUGAGCAAAAUAUUACUUUGCUGCUGAGGGAUUUUGAUAGACUGGGGGAUUGGGCACUCAAAUGGCAGAUGAAAUUUAUUUUUUGAAAAAUGCAAAGUUAUGCACUUCGGGGUUAAGAAUGCGCAAGCAAUGGAAGCGAAUUAGGG